This 64-nucleotide transfer RNA is filed under the name Staphylinoidea sp. 11 KM-2017. RNAcentral describes it as "tRNA-His". The record is from RNAcentral. Lineage: Eukaryota; Metazoa; Arthropoda; Insecta; Coleoptera.
ACUAAAAUAGUUUAAAUAAAAUAUUGAUCUGUGGAGUCAAAGAUAUAUAAUUGUAUUUUUAGUA